UUGGACAAUGGGCGCAAGCCUGAUCCAGCCAUGCCGCGUGGGUGAAGAAGGCCUUAGGGUUGUAAACCCCUUUCAGCGGGGAAGAUAAUGACGGUACCCGCAGAAGAAGCCCCGGCUAACUCCGUGCCAGCAGCCGCGGUAAUACGGAGGGGGCUAGCGUUGUUCGGAAUUACUGGGCGUAAAGCGCGCGUAGGCGGACCUGCAAGUCAGGGGUGAAAUCCCGAGGCUCAACCUCGGAACUGCCUUUGAUACUGCGGGUCUCGAGUCCGGGAGAGGUGAGUGGAAUUCCUAGUGUAGAGGUGAAAUUCGUAGAUAUUAGGAAGAACACCAGUGGCGAAGGCGGCUCACUGGCCCGGUACUGACGCUGAGGCGCGAAAGCGUGGGGAGCAAACAGGAUUAGAUACCCUGGUAGUCCACGCCGUAAACUAUGGGUGCUAGCCGUCGGGGAGCAUGCUCUUCGGUGGCGCAGCAAACGCAUUAAGCACCCCGCCUGGGGAGUACGGUCGCAAGAUUA
Molecule: ribosomal RNA, 514 nt
Filed under: uncultured Pseudomonadota bacterium
Lineage: Bacteria; Pseudomonadati; Pseudomonadota
Description: bacterial SSU rRNA
Rfam family: Bacterial small subunit ribosomal RNA
Source: RNAcentral